UAUGGCUAUAACUAUGUUGAAGGUUAGAGCUGAAGAUUAGAGAAGGAAACAGGACUGGGAAGGGAUGAAUAAAGCAGGGAUAUAAUGCCCCUGUGGAUGGACUAUAAUCUUUGCUUCAAGUCUGCUUCCCGUAUCUAAUAUUUGAAAAGAAAGGGCAAGGAUUGUAUGACAAGAAAUUUCUAUCGGGCUGGCAUACACUCUGUUGCUAUGGGUAUAGAAGAAUGAGGAAGUACCAAGAAGGCCUUGUUAGCAUGUUAUACUAAAAUGAAGAUGAUAAUUAGAUUGCUGUCCAUGCCGCCUACUCUCUUGACUUUGGGGUAUCCUUGAGCAAGAAUUUUGUCUCCAAGUGACAAGUUCAAGACACGCUUGCUCAGAACUUAAGUUCUGCUACUCUCCAAAGGGUGUUCUCCAGAGUAAAUAUUGCAGAGAGGCUUUAUCACAAUUCCUUUGCGAGGUGAGUUGGUUGCUGUUCUCUCUGACUGGAAGCUUUCUAUCAAUAUUUUCCCGUUCCUUUUCUCUUACCAGGGAGUUUUUACUGUGGGGUAGUUCUGGCUUGUUAAUAGUUUACCACCCUUACUUGGGCAACAUAGCCCAAGGUAACCCAAAAUGGCUGAUGUUGAUGCUGUUGAUAUAAGUCCAAAAUAUUGAUUGGUUUAAAACAAAUGAAUCCCUAUUUUUGUUAUUGCUGCUGCUAUUGUUGUUGUUACUACUGCUGUUGUAACUUAGUUCCCACUUGAAUUUUCUAAUCUGCCACCUGCUACCGCUUGCAAAACCUGUCCUGGAUCAUUUCCAACACCUGCCCAGUUGCAAGCAUGUGUAAAAUCUGAAUGGGCUCAAAAUGUUGGAAUACUGCAUCAAGGUUGUAGGAAGAGGAGCAGGUCUUGACUUUAUCAAAUCCUCCUGCUUAAAACCCCAACCCAAAAUGAAAGGCGAUACUUGCUAAAGAGCCAUAAUAAUAGCAGCCUAGAAAUGCUGAAAUCUCUUUAUUCUGAUUUUUAUCUUAUUCUUUCUGGAAAUGUUCACAUAAAAAUGGAAAGAUUGAAAAUAAUAAAUGAUGAGAACUUUACCUCA
RNAcentral lists this long non-coding RNA (1071 nucleotides) under Notechis scutatus (mainland tiger snake). RNAcentral describes it as "lncRNA (ENSNSUG00000019368.1)". Lineage: Eukaryota; Metazoa; Chordata; Lepidosauria; Squamata; Elapidae. The record is from RNAcentral.